CUGUGAUUCUGUGAUUCAGUGAUUAAAGUGAUUCAGUGAUUAAAUGAGACUGCUGGGGGCUGCAUAAAAUGGCGGGAGGAACUCUUACCAAAGCGUAUGGAGAACCUUAUUUGCUAGUUUGUCCUCAAGCAAGGCAGUGGCACAGUGGUUUCCCAUGGAUGAGGGAAGGUAGAAGUAAUCGUGAGCAACAGUACCCAAACCAUUAAAGAAAAAAAUUUGUUUAACUUGAGAUCAUGGCAUCCAAAUACCCAACAGCCGGAAGGAGGUUUUUUUUCUCAGAAGAGGUCUUUUGGCUUCUGAUGAGCUAACCCAGUUUCCAAGUGGGUUUCCUAAGAAGAGUACUCGGUAUAUGAGCAACCAGACAGCCCUGUUACUGCUGUUUGCUAAGGAACUCCACAUAUUUGAGGAUACAUAUUUGAAACCCUUUCUAAUGGAAGGACAGUCGUGCCACUCAGACCACACAGGAUAGUGACUAUAAUAGUGAAUAUAAUGUCAUCCUGCUGACAGAACUUGAUAACCCUUAAGCAUGUGUUUGGGUACAGAACAAUUUCCUAUGAACUUAGAAGUUAUCAUUCAUCUAACUUUUGUGAAAAAAUAAAUUAAAAAAAAAAAAAUCUUUAAAGGAUAUAAAGAACUCUAAAAGUGUGUGCUUAUUUCUGGUGGAAACUGAUGAGACCAUGAGAAACAGAGUAGUGCUUGAAUUCAAUAGCUGAACUUCUCCAGGAAAUUAUAUUUACCUAAGAUAGUUAUGGGUUCCAGUAAUUCUUGUGCUCACCAAAUGAGCCCUAAGCUCAUGAUUUUAGUGAAAUAGAAAAAUAUGUCCAGAGCAGUGGUAGCCGAAGAAAAAUUGUAAUAUUGUUACAGACAGAAACUUGAAGGAAUCAGGAACAUCCGUUAAUAUGUUCAGGCAAACACUAUUAAGACUGUUCAAACAAUGUCAUAUCUCUCCAUCUACCCCAAGCUUUCUUUUGGCAACUGUAUAUCUAUGUUUUACUUUAAGCCUCGCUAUAUGCAUUGUAAAGCCAUAGGUGACACCUUUUGAAUAUGUCUUUAGUAAUGUGUAUUUUUACUGAAGUCACAACGAAAACAAACUAAAAUUGUCCUUCAUAGCAGUGGAUUAUGCAGAGACUGUAGUAUUUGGGAACAAAAAAGUUGUAGGCUUUUUUGAGUUCUUCAUUGCCUGCCUUUGUGAAAAGUAUCUAGCCUACUUUUCCUUCUUCCUUUCCUCUUCUUCAGCAUUCAAAAAAUAAAAAUCUAGUCAUCGAGAGAGGCCAGUGCAUACAUAAAAACUUGUUGGCUGAGCCUUAGUCUGCAUGAGAAAGAUGAAAAGAUGGCUGGAAGGGAAAUUAACCAAUGUAUAUGGUAUUGGUUUAAGAAACGUGUCUUGAAGGAGCAUGAUACAGCCUAAAGCUGGAGUACCUCUUCAACAGCUGAAAUUGGCAUGAGGAGGUUUGAGAUAAGGCAAAAAUAUCCUCCAGCUGCUAUACAGAAAGUAUAGAGUCAACUGCUGUGGUGAAGCUGCUAACGUUCAGACUGAUGAUGUCCGUCUCUCUUCUGGAGAAUCAGUCAGUAAGGCCAAGGUGAACAAGAAAGUUGCCUGCUCUAGUCAGUGAUUCAGCUGGGACAAGACAAGAUCAGGAAUCUGCAACCGGUUUCCGGAGUCUUUCUUUUUCUUUUCUUUUCUUUUCUUUUCUUUUCUUUUCUUUUCUUUUCUUUUCUUUUCUUUUCUUUUCUUUUCUUUUCUUUUCUUCUCUUCUCUUCUCUUCUCUUCUCUUCUCUUCUCUUCUCUUCUCUUCUCUUCUCUUCUCUUCUCUUCUCUUCCCUCUUUUUUUUCUUCCUUUUUUACUUUUUUUCCUUUCUGUUUCCAGAAUAGGAAAACUAUAGUAAUGUUCUGGUUCUAAAAUAUAAGUGGAUUUAAAAACAAAAACAAAACAAAACAAAACAAAACAAAACAAAACAUAAUAGAUAAGAUAGCAAACAAGCUAAACAGCAAAUGCUAACUAGAAAAGUGAUGCACAUUGAGAAAUAAUUGCACAGGAAUGUGCAAAGUCAAAAGGAAGGUUCAGAGAGAGGUAACAGGCCAGCUCUAAGGAUGCUCUAGUUACUAGAGUGUGCCUGGUCUUGAAAUCAAAAGGUGACAUGACUUAUUUGGCAGAUUAGCUAUAAAAAGGACAACAGACGACAGACAACUCUUGACAUUUCACUAGAUAUGUUAAAAGUUUAAACUGUUUUUCAUUUCUCAUCUACAACAUGUUAUUACCUUAUAAAGUGUUCUUUUCACUUGCUUAAGAAACAUGUUUUUUGCCAAAAUACUGGAGACUGCCUCAAUUCUGUGUUUAUCAUAUAAAAUAUCAUCAUUCACAUUUGUUUUGAUUUUACAUUUGCAUAGCAACAGGACACCAUUAUCCAGCAAUAGGAGACCAUUAUCCUGUAACAGUACUGUGGGUCCUUCAAGGUAUAUGGCAGAUCAGACUACUCCAGCUGAUACAGUUACUUUUGCUGCAUCUGUCUGUACAGAGUAAUUGCCAGCAGAAAUAAUUCAUGUAAAUCCCAUGCGUGCAAGAGAAAGGACAUAAUGUCUCCUGAUAGCAUACAGGAGAAUGGCAUUUGACCUCUUUCAUAUUGAAUCACAGGAAAGAAUAAAAAUAUGGGAAACAAUCAAAAUAUCAGAGCAGUGAGCUGUGCAACCACAGGAUAUUAGCUAGUGCCAGGGACCACAUUUUGCUGUCACAAAUGUUAAAAGACUGACAUUUUCAACACCAAAUAUAAAAGCUACUGGAGCUGAGGCAUUUGCCAAAAGACUUUUGCAAAUAACAUUGCUAAACCAUUCUAAAUUCAGUCAUGAAUUAGAGGUUAAUAAAGGAGAAAAACACAGGAACUGUGCGAGCACAUAGCAGGGCUGAGAGCCACUUCUCUCUUCCUGCUGUGUUUACUGACAAGGCAGCACUGGAAUAUGAAGUCAGGAAGCAUUGUGGUGGGCACACACUGCCUCAUCUCAGAUUAGUGUGCCUAAUACAAGUCAAGCCAAGUUCAGUGAAAGUUUUCUAACUAUUUGCAAUGGACAUGGGAUCAUUCUUUAGUAUCUUUCAGCUCUUCUCAGGAUGGAGCAAACAUGAUGCCAGUAAGUGCCCAUGACAAAACAGACACUUCCCCAAAUUCCAUGAGAUUUCCUAUUAAAUGUCUAGGUUCUUCUAAUGGAUGAACCAAGGUGACAUAUUAGCAUGACAGCAGAGCUUAAAAGCUCUAAGAGAUCACUAUGCUUGGAACACAGUGCCAGCAUGGAUUUUUAGCAGGAAAUGCAAAGGACAAAGCUUUUAACUUUCUCCAUCUUGGUAUUCCUGCCUAGCACUGGUUGGUGCUGCAUAUGUUCCUGCACCACACAAUGCAGCUGUACAGCUACCACACAACCUGUUGCCAUAGCCUCCUCUGAGCACAGCUUUCCUUUCUUUACUUUACUUACAAUUUAGAUAGACAAAGCAAUGGUUGAGAGGAGAAAUGGAGACAUGGAGGUAUAAAAUGUCUUACCAAAGUCUCCUAACCCUUGUAAUUCUUCCUUUGUCUAAUAUAUUUCUUCUUGCAUUUUGUGGUUCUUUACAGACAGAAAAAAUGUCCCCAGAUAGCAUUGUGCCACAGCAGUUCUCUAUGCCAUGUUGUCAGGUUGAGAAGUGACAUAUACUUAUGGUUUAUAGGGAAGGAACAUAUGCCCAAUAUGUUUUGAAUGCAAAUACAAGCAUACACACAAUAUCCACAAUUAAUGAAAUUAGGUUAAGAAGAACAAACACGGAGAAUAUACACAAAUCAAAUGCAAUCCAACUGCUACCUAGUUCAAAAAUCUGUGGUGUGCUGCGGAAGAAGACAAGAAGAAUGGGAAAAAAUGAGGGACAAAUGGCUGAGAAAUGCUCAGACUCCUGUCGUCAUUAACUACGUGGAGUCUUGUAAUGGUGCAGGAAAAGUGUUAGAAAGCAAAAUUAUACAACAUGGGAGCUGGGGAUGGGUAGAAUGACUGGAGAAUGUGGGUAAGGAAAGUAAAAUGAUGACAUGAAGAAAAAAAUUGUCAGAAAAAGUACUGAAAAAUGCU
Cygnus olor (mute swan) is the source of this 4078-nucleotide long non-coding RNA. RefSeq lists it as uncharacterized. The record is from RefSeq and is a predicted model, not a curated record. The transcript is spliced from 4 exons. Lineage: Eukaryota; Metazoa; Chordata; Aves; Anseriformes; Anatidae.